UUAAGUUCAGCGGGUAGUCCUACUCGAUUUGAGGUCAAGUUGUCAGAUAUUUGUCGCAAGGACAGUUGGAAGCACAGAGCUCCCAGUUGGACCCCAUAAAGGUGCCAGCGAAGAUGCUUAUCACGCUGUACUAAUCCAACCAUGAGAUGCACUAACCCAUUUCAGAUGAGCCACAACUAAGCAGCAACAUCCAAGUCCAC
This 200-nucleotide unclassified non-coding RNA is filed under the name Sebacinaceae sp. RNAcentral's name for it is "partial internal transcribed spacer 2". The record is from RNAcentral. Lineage: Eukaryota; Fungi; Basidiomycota; Agaricomycetes; Sebacinales; Sebacinaceae.